Molecule: ribosomal RNA, 514 nt
Filed under: uncultured bacterium
Lineage: Bacteria
Description: bacterial SSU rRNA
Rfam family: Bacterial small subunit ribosomal RNA
Source: RNAcentral
AUGGCUCAGAUUGAACGCUGGCGGCGUGCUUAACACAUGCAAGUCGCGCGUGAAAGGACUUCGGUCCGAGUAAAGCGGCGCACGGGUGAGUAACGCGUGGAUGAUCUACCCAUGAGUUAGGAAUAACGGCUGGAAACGGUCGCUAAUACCAAAUACGCUCCGAUUUCAACUUCGGGGGAAAGGUGGCCUCUGCUUGCAAGCUACUGCUCAUGGAUGAGUCCGCGUCCCAUCAGCUAGUUGGUGGGGUAACGGCCCACCAAGGCGACGAUGGGUAGCCGGUCUGAGAGGAUGACCGGCCACACUGGGACUGGAACACGGCCCAGACUCCUACGGGAGGCAGCAGUGGGGAAUAUUGCGCAAUGGGCGAAAGCCUGACGCAGCGACGCCGCGUGAGGGAUGAAGGUCCUCGGAUCGUAAACCUCUGUCAGGAGGGAAGAACCGCCACGGUGCUAAUCAGCCGUGGUCUGACGGUACCUCCAAAGGAAGCACCGGCUAACUCCGUGCCAGCCGCUGC